Molecule: long non-coding RNA, 1006 nt
Organism: Dreissena polymorpha
Lineage: Eukaryota; Metazoa; Mollusca; Bivalvia; Myida; Dreissenidae
Exons: 2
Source: RefSeq, a predicted model, not a curated record
AAAUGACGUCCUCAGUCACGUAUAUAUGUAUGUUUGUACUGGCCACCUCCGUAUGUCUGUCCAGUGUCUCUGAUGCGUAUAUAGACUGCUCCAUGGAAUGCCUCUUUGCAAAAUUUCGACAGCCUACAGUUUGUGAAUGCAAUAACAAUGUCAAGUCGCACUGGGGGAAGCGCGCACCGAGGACACAAACGCACAGUGGUCUGCCUACGUUUAGAUACGGAAAACGAUCGGCUUCUUUGACGACUCUGAUUUAGAGGGCAUGGACAGAUUUGAUGAACUCAGUGCAAUACAGGACGAAUUCUACCCGGGCCUAGACACUCGGAAGUGAUCGUGAAACGACCAUGCGCUCGGCUCGUGUUCUUCGAGUCAUGGCAUCAACAAAUUGAAAUAUUAAAUAGGCAAUAGAGACACAUGGCGCUUUGUUUAAGUUUUCCAUAGCAAUAGAGAAACAUGGCGCUUUGUUUAAGUUUUCCAUAAGUCAAUAGAGACACAUGGCGCUUUGUUUCAGUUUUCCAUAAGUCAUUUUUGAUGUUUUCUUAUAUUAUUUAGAAUACUACUAGUAUACUACUACUAUUCACUGUAGUAUAUAUUUCUGCACGAUUCUAAUUAUUUAGAUAAAUACAUGAUUAAACAAUAGUAACAAUUGUUUUUAAUAAUGAUUCAUCAAUUUCAAGAAUGUGUGAAACUUUAACUGUUUUUUUAAAUAAACCACACGGAAUAUAUUUAUAUUAAUCAAACACCUUACAUCUUCUUUAUUUGGAGGGCGUAAAAAUACUAAGUAUUGCAUAUUGUAAAUCUUUGCCGUUUCCUUUUUAAUAUGGCAAAGCGAUUUUCUGUAUUUAUAAUUGAAGUAUAUACUAUCAUGGUGUACAUUUGUUUCAUUUUUAUUUAUAUUUUUAAUUUAUUCAAAGAUAUAAAAACAAUUAUUGAAAUAACAUACACAAUGAUUCUUGUUAUAUGUUAGUAAAUCUUCGUAUAACUUAAACAAUAAACACUCAAAUGCCUA